Molecule: non-coding RNA, 299 nt
Organism: Pelobates cultripes (western spadefoot toad)
Lineage: Eukaryota; Metazoa; Chordata; Amphibia; Anura; Pelobatidae
Source: the annotation of a GenBank genome assembly
UGAUGAAUGAAUGAAUAGCUGAAAUUCCCGUUCGCAUGUCCAGGUGUUUCACUGGGCAUGUGCGGGAAUCUCAGUGUCUGCCUAGUGUGGGCUGAUGACGUGUCCCUGAGGGACUUCAUCUACCCACACAAAGAUGGCUGCGCCCUGAAUCAAGAUCGGGGCAGAAAAUAAGGAUUUAAAAAUAGGUAAUGUAGGGGGCUUAGGGGCAUUUGGGGGUGACUAGUGGGUCAGUUAGAGAUAGUGGAGGCCGGAGGGGGGUUAAAAAAAAAACGGGAUUCGGCAUGACAGUGCCGCUUUAA